RNAcentral lists this long non-coding RNA (348 nucleotides) under Salvia miltiorrhiza (redroot sage). RNAcentral's name for it is "long non-coding RNA (SMIL_LNC001942)". Lineage: Eukaryota; Viridiplantae; Streptophyta; Magnoliopsida; Lamiales; Lamiaceae. The record is from RNAcentral.
CCCAAUCAGAUUAAUACAUCUCUCUCCUUUCUUCUCUUUUCCUCACGCAGACCCGCUCAAACCCUCUCUUUACCUUCACUCCCACUCUCAGCCGUCUCUCUCCCUCUCUACCUCUCCGGCGAAUAUCGCCGGCUUUCGCCGCUUCCGGCGCGGCGAGGCUGACGCAGCUUCUCCCCUUCCUCUUUCUUCCCUCUCCUUUCUACAUUUAAUUCCCCAAAUUCUAAAAUCAAUUCAACCUAGGGUUUUCAAUCUCCCCCAUCAAUUGUACUCCUCUGGCGAAUCCCGGCGAAUAACGUCGCCGCCGCCCCAGCUCGUCGGAUUUCCGCUCCUCCGCCGUUCUUCCUGUCU